RNAcentral lists this ribosomal RNA (469 nucleotides) under uncultured bacterium. Its description in RNAcentral is "bacterial SSU rRNA". It matches the Rfam family "Bacterial small subunit ribosomal RNA", at positions 30 to 507 of the family's 1533-position model. The record is from RNAcentral.
AUUGAACGCUGGCGGCAGGCUUAACGACAUGCAAGUCGAGCGGAGACUUCGGUCUUAGCGGCGAACGGGUGAGUAAUACCUAGGAAUCUGCCUAUUAUGGGGGAUACGAAUCGAAAGGUUCGCUAAUACCGCAUACGUCCUACGGGANAAAGGGGGGAUCUUCGGACCUCUCGCUAAUAGAUGAGCCUAGGCCGGAUUAGCUAGUUGGUAGGGUAAAGGCCUACCAAGGCGACGAUCUGUAGCUGGUCUGAGAGGAUGGCCAGCCACACUGGAACUGAGACACGGUCCAGACUCCUACGGGAGGCAGCAGUGGGGAAUAUUGGACAAUGGGGGCAACCCUGAUCCAGCCAUGCCGCGUGUGUGAAGAAGGCCUUCGGGUUGUAAAGCACUUUAAGCGAGGAGGAAGGUUUUAGUUUAAUACACUAAAGAAUUGACGUUACUCGCAGAAUAAGCACCGGCUAACUCUGUG